This 1001-nucleotide ribosomal RNA is filed under the name Acinetobacter baumannii. Its description in RNAcentral is "partial 16S ribosomal RNA". The stretch from base 1 to 811 matches the Rfam family "Bacterial small subunit ribosomal RNA", at positions 65 to 873 of the family's 1533-position model. Lineage: Bacteria; Pseudomonadati; Pseudomonadota; Gammaproteobacteria; Moraxellales; Moraxellaceae. The record is from RNAcentral.
AGCGGGGGAAGGUAGCUUGCUACCGGACCUAGCGGCGGACGGGUGAGUAAUGCUUAGGAAUCUGCCUAUUAGUGGGGGACAACAUCUCGAAAGGGAUGCUAAUACCGCAUACGUCCUACGGGAGAAAGCAGGGGAUCUUCGGACCUUGCGCUAAUAGAUGAGCCUAAGUCGGAUUAGCUAGUUGGUGGGGUAAAGGCCUACCAAGGCGACGAUCUGUAGCGGGUCUGAGAGGAUGAUCCGCCACACUGGGACUGAGACACGGCCCAGACUCCUACGGGAGGCAGCAGUGGGGAAUAUUGGACAAUGGGGGGAACCCUGAUCCAGCCAUGCCGCGUGUGUGAAGAAGGCCUUAUGGUUGUAAAGCACUUUAAGCGAGGAGGAGGCUACUUUAGUUAAUACCUAGAGAUAGUGGACGUUACUCGCAGAAUAAGCACCGGCUAACUCUGUGCCAGCAGCCGCGGUAAUACAGAGGGUGCGAGCGUUAAUCGGAUUUACUGGGCGUAAAGCGUGCGUAGGCGGCUUAUUAAGUCGGAUGUGAAAUCCCCGAGCUUAACUUGGGAAUUGCAUUCGAUACUGGUGAGCUAGAGUAUGGGAGAGGAUGGUAGAAUUACACCGUGUGGGGCCCGAAAUGCCUGGGAAAUCUUUGUUAAAGGGACGGGGAACCACGGGGGGUGUCUUCAUCCGUGUUAAGCCCCCCGGACGCUUUUAGUACCAAAAGGCGUGGGUUAAAAGGGCCAGAAAGGGCCCCCCCCGCGGUCUUUUGUGUUGUGCCCCACAAAAAUUUUUUUCCCCCCAUUUUUCGGGGGGCGCCCCCCCGGGGGGUUUUUUUUUUCGGGGGCCCCUCCUUCCAAAAACCCGUGUUUGGAUUUAAACCCCGUUGGGGGGGGGGAGGGGUUUCCUCCCCAAAGAAAAAGCACGCCGGGGGGGGUGAUUUUUUUUACGGCCCGCAGGAAGGGUAAGACCCCCGCCCCACCCCCGCCAAGGCCAAGGGAAGCUGUUUG